UACAGAGGGUGCGAGCGUUAAUCGGAAUUACUGGGCGUAAAGCGCGCGUAGGCGGCUAAUUAAGUCAGACGUGAAAUCCCCAGGCUCAACCUGGGAACUGCGUCUGAUACUGGAUGGCUUGAAUUCGGGAGAGGGAUGCAGAAUUCCAGGUGUAGCGGUGAAAUGCGUAGAUAUCUGGAGGAAUACCGGUGGCGAAGGCGGCAUCCUGGACCGACAUUGACGCUGAGGAGCGAAAGCUAGGGGAGCAAACGGG
This 253-nucleotide ribosomal RNA is filed under the name uncultured bacterium. RNAcentral describes it as "partial 16S ribosomal RNA". It matches the Rfam family "Bacterial small subunit ribosomal RNA", at positions 524 to 776 of the family's 1533-position model. The record is from RNAcentral.